GUGGAUUAGAUACCCGGGUAGUCCACGCCGUAAACGAUGAAUGCCAGCCGUUAGUGGGUUUACUCACUAGUGGCGCAGCUAACGCUUUAAGCAUUCCGCCUGGGGAGUACGGUCGCAAGAUUAAAACUCAAAGGAAUUGACGGGGGCCCGCACAAGCGGUGGAGCAUGUGGUUUAAUUCGACGCAACGCGCAGAACCUUACCAGCCCUUGACAUCCCGGUCGCGGACUCCAGAGACGGAGUUCUUCAGUUCGGCUGGACCGGAGACAGGUGCUGCACGGCCGUCGCCAACU
This 291-nucleotide ribosomal RNA is filed under the name uncultured bacterium. RNAcentral describes it as "partial 16S ribosomal RNA". It matches the Rfam family "Bacterial small subunit ribosomal RNA", at positions 773 to 1060 of the family's 1533-position model. The record is from RNAcentral.